AAAACUUGUUACCGAAUUAACAAACCUAAUAAAGAUUUGUACUUCUUUGCAUAUACAAAAAGUAGAUUUAAUUCUCCAAAAUACUACAGUGAUCUCUGAGAAGAACAAAUUAGAAUCAGAUUAUAUGGCCGCAUCUUCACAACUCCGUCUUACAGAGCAACAUUUCAUUGAAUUGGAUGAAAAUAGACAGAGAUUAUUGCAGAAAUGCAAGGAACUUAUGAAGAGAGCUAGGCAAGUAUGUAACCUGGGUGCAGAGCAGACUCUUCCUCAAGAAUACCAGACAGUAAGUAUAAAAAGUAUAUAAUGCUACAGUUGCCAUAUUUAACAUAUUUUUAAGAUUAUGGGAUCUUAGGCAUUGUAACAGGCCGUGAAAAACAUGAUGUGUCGUAAAAAAUAGGGAGUUUUUCCACAUUUUUAAACUGAAUAUAUAUAUAAAAUGUUGCUUAACAGAUCAAUGGUAUUGGUACUAUAACAUUUAUUCUUCCAAUACAAAUGCCUUUUAAUGGGUACAGUUGGAACAUACAUAGUUUUUCAUGGAAACAUUGUACCAGUAAUUGGUAUAUCAGAAAUAAUAAAUAGGAUAUUUUAAAAAUAAAGGGAAAAUGAAAAUGUUUCCCUGGAAAUUGGGGUGUUUAAUUAGGGUUCAAUGAGAGCUGAAUAUUUAGGGCUAACAUCUGCCAA
RNAcentral lists this small RNA (681 nucleotides) under Pongo abelii (Sumatran orangutan). Its description in RNAcentral is "retained intron". Lineage: Eukaryota; Metazoa; Chordata; Mammalia; Primates; Hominidae. The record is from RNAcentral.